This 253-nucleotide ribosomal RNA is filed under the name uncultured prokaryote. Its description in RNAcentral is "partial 16S ribosomal RNA". It matches the Rfam family "Bacterial small subunit ribosomal RNA", at positions 525 to 777 of the family's 1533-position model. The record is from RNAcentral.
ACGUAGGUGGCAAGCGUUAUCCGGAAUUAUUGGGCGUAAGGCGCGCGCAGGCGGUUUCUUAAGUCUGAUGUGAAAGCCCACGGCUCAACCGUGGAGGGUCAUUGGAAACUGGGGAACUUGAGUGCAGAAGAGAAAAGCGGAAUUCCACGUGUAGCGGUGAAAUGCGUAGAGAUGUGGAGGAACACCAGUGGCGAAGGCGGCUCACUGGGACGUGACUGACGCUGAGACGCGAAAGCGUGGGGAGCAAACAGGA